This 412-nucleotide ribosomal RNA is filed under the name uncultured eukaryote. RNAcentral describes it as "SSU rRNA". It matches the Rfam family "Eukaryotic small subunit ribosomal RNA", at positions 567 to 990 of the family's 1831-position model. The record is from RNAcentral.
CCAGCAGCUGCGGUAAUUCCAGCUCUAAUAGCGUAUAUUAAAGUUGUUGCAGUUAAAAAGCUCGUAGUCGGAUGUCGGGCUCGGGCAGGCUGUCGGCUUCGGUCGGACGGCAGGCUCGGGUCUUUCUGCCUGAGGAACCCGUGGCACUUAACUGUGCGGCGUGGGGACGCAGGCCGUUUACUUUGAAAAAAUUAGAGUGUUCAAAGCAGGCUAUUGCUUGAAUAUAUUAGCAUGGAAUAAUGGAAUAGGACUUUGGUGCUAUUUCGUUGGUUAUGGGACCGAGGUAAUGAUUAAUAGGGACAGUUGGGGCCGUUCAUAUUUCGUUGUCAGAGGUGAAAUUCUUGGAUUUACGAACGAUGAACUUAUGCGAAAGCAUUCGGCAAGGAUGUUUUCAUUGAUCAAGAACGAAAGU